This is a non-coding RNA of Pseudonaja textilis, 119 nucleotides long. Lineage: Eukaryota; Metazoa; Chordata; Lepidosauria; Squamata; Elapidae. The record is from RefSeq and is a predicted model, not a curated record.
UCUCCCUGAUGGUAACAGUUCAAAAUAUGAAUGUCCAGGAUGAGAACGGUUUGUGGAGAUUUUAGUGUUCUAGAGAAGAGUCUGGUCUUCGCAAUCUCUUCCAAAGAAAGGGACAACCA